AGUGCAAUUUAGCAUCAAACUGUUGAUGGCCCCUCUAGCGGCCAAGUUGCCAAUUAAUCAUAUGAACCAAAGUUCUGUUACGUUCUAUAUGUUUAUGCAGAUUUAUGAGUGUAAAUUAGCCAAUUUGCCAUGAAAACCCAAUCCAAUAGACAAAUAGUGACUAAGCUAGAAUAACUGUGUACAUGCGCCACCAUCCGACGACCCCCCGACAUGGGCUGCGCACUUGAAACAGAAACACGAACAACAAAUUUGCUUGCAAAAACAACAAGUGACAGCAACAUUUCCGCCAACGAAAAGAACCUCGGUUUUGGAAAAGGCAGCUCGACGGACGGAAGCAUUUGCCGAAACGCCAUCAGAAAAGGGCGAAAAACAAAAAGUGUGCGAGUCAAAUACAAUACAGAAAGAUCGGACAAGAUCCCGUGAACAGCUGUCCAGACGAAAAAAGGAUUCCGAUCUCGUCGCGGAAAUAUUAGUGCAUCCCUCAAAAACCGAUAAAUCCUUGGUAAAGGCAGUACAGCACGCUCGACAAACCUGACCGCAGCACCGUCACGAGCGUGCGACAGAUAUUGGAUCUUAUCAGAGCCCGACAGGUAAACGCUCGCAUGCCUACAUCACCUUGCCAAGUUACAUUGGUAGAGGAAGGUUCUAAAAUCACCCACGAUCUCUUGGUACGGCUGUUUAGUCAUUGUGGCAUACAACACACGUAGGACCGCUGCUACGCAUGCCCGGACCGGUGAAACCGAUUGUGUCGUGAUACCUCCCGUGUGCUUAAACGACGACUAAGACGACGGACUACUGCGAGAAAAGACCUUCCAUCGGAAGGUCUUUUUGUUCACUGGUUUCAUUUCGCAGACAACGUUACACGCCGUGCCAAACGGCAGGUAGAGCACCAUCAGCCGUGGCUAGUCGGCGCACAGCACCGCCCUGCAACCACGGGGAGGAGUCAGGUGGCACAACUCUGAAGACAUGUCAUCAUCGAAAGCGAGUCGGGUGGAGGUCAUGUCGCCGUUGGGCGACAGCGUAGCCCAAGUCAGCGCACUCUGGUCCGUGAGUAGAAAUUAAGAAAAGCGAUGUUUUAGCAUAAGAAAGAAAGCUAGGCAGAGUAGGGCUAGUUUAUGAAUUGGUGUAAUACAUGGUUUGCUUAUGAAACGAUAUUCUGGCUAUUGGUUGGCGUUUGAUUUUGUGCUAGCCGAGACGACUGUAAGCCACUUAUUCUGCUUAGGUCGAACCUCCACAACAGUUCUAAAUGGUAGAUCUUAUCAAGCCCUAAAACUUUGCCGAAGAAAGUAUUGCGCUGACUCUUAAUAAACCCGAGAUAAUAGGCCACACCCCCAAAAAGCCGAAAUCCCAUAAGCUCUUAGUCUCCUAUAACGCUCACCCCUGUCUAGUAGGAGCUCGUUUAAUAGGAAUUCGUUUAGUAAGAGACUCGACUGUACUCUUCCGUUUUCUGAAAUCCGUUUGCUCCGGCACGUAAGAAAAAUAUUCGAAAUGUUUUUAAUUCUACGAUAGCUAAAUAGCGUCCAUAGAGUUAAAUUUUGAAUUUUUAUCUGAAGUAUUGUACCAAAUGGAUAUACAAUGGCUAAAAUAAAACAAUUUUAGUGAUGGAAUGAUAAGAAAUUUGCAAAUAAGCUUAACUUGAGCUGAUAUCCUUCAAAAUGAUCGUUAUAUUACAGAUCAACAUCAUAAAACGUAAAUUUUGGACCAAAUUUACCACAAUAGGGACACAAGUACGUUUUAGAAAUGAGAAUGUUGUGAAUCAACAAGAUAAGAUACAGCCAUGUUUCUUUAAAACAACAAAUCUUAUUGAAACAGGUAAAUGGACAUUUUUGUUUAAUUUUGUACAAAAUAAAAUGGCUUCGUACUCCACCAAUACAGAGUCUCAUAUUUUUUUCUUCUGGUCAUAGUUACUACUAGCAAUGGUGAAGACAGGAACCUAAUUUGUUUCAACUUUGAACCAUUACUCGUACAAAUGUGACGAAAUACCAAUGAAAUGGCGUGCGUGCCAGCUGAAAUGGACUUACGACACAUAAGCGAUCAGCAGAGAAGGAUAAAGGACAAUUUUUUCCAAAACAUAUGCUGCAUUUGAUCAGUGUUGUUUGCCUUUCAAUAAAUUUAUUUACUUUGAUAAUCCUAAUUUCAGAUGUGAAAUGAAUUCAAUUUGAUUUUGCAUGAGAACUUAUUGGACACGGUGUACAUUAGCGUGGUUCAAAAAAUCGUUUUUGCUCCACACCGCUUAUUCGAUUCAUACAUAACCAGAUUCUAUGCCCUCUCCUAAAAUUUGAACUGAAUUGGUUGAAAAUUGAGAGUGCACAAGCCCUUCAAAAUUUGUAUAGGAAUUACUAUGGGAAAACGACGUUUUCAUUCAUUUGACCGUAGCAUUUCCCCAAGUGGCCAAGAGUGUUUGUGGACCCUUGGUACUCCUAGGCUACUCUAUCAGCUACAACUUUGCCGAAGACCACAUUCAAAUCGGGCGCCUCAUUCAAUAGAUAUCGAUUUUUAUCCAAUUGGAGAAACCUUAACAGUGAUCGCUCAGCUUUCCAGCAGGCAACAUUGCUGCACAUGGCGCUAAAGAUAGCACACAAAAAUCAUGGCUACUAUGUUUCAAUGCAAAUUGCAGUGAUGCCCAUUGAACAGUGUAACCAUCAUGAUCAAAGAUUUUCAUUCCGGAUAAAAAUCGAUAACUAAUUAAUGAGGCGUCCGACUUGAAUGUGGUAUUCGGCAAAGUUGUAGCUGAUAGAGUAGCCUAGGAAUGCCAAAGGUCAACAAACACUCUUGGCCACUUGGGGAAAUGCUACGGUCAGUUGAAUGAAAAACGUCGUUUUUCCAUAGUAAUUUCCAUACAAACUUUGAAGGGCUUGUGCACUCUCAGUUUUUAACCAAAUCAGCUCAAUUUUUGGGAGAUGGCUUAGAAUCUGGUUACGAAUCGAAUAAGCGGUAUGGAGCAAAAACGAUUUUUUGAACCACAGUGUACAUACAGGGGCACGGUGUCAAAAUUUCAAUUAUUAUUGAACUUUCAUGUACCUCGAAUUUUUCUUCACAGAAUGUCAGUAUUUUUGCUAUUUUGCAUAAAUGGAAAGUUUGAAAAUAUUCCAUCGGGGAAAUUUUGAUUUAUAGAUGAGUUUUUGUAUACUUUCCAUACUUUA
Aedes albopictus (Asian tiger mosquito) is the source of this 3143-nucleotide long non-coding RNA. RefSeq lists it as uncharacterized. Lineage: Eukaryota; Metazoa; Arthropoda; Insecta; Diptera; Culicidae. The record is from RefSeq and is a predicted model, not a curated record. The transcript is spliced from 4 exons.